CCCUACGGGGCGCAGCAGCGAGGAAUAUUGGUCAAUGGUCGGGAGACUGAACCAGCCAAGCCGCGUGAGGGAUGAAGGUACAGAGUAUCGUAAACCUCUUUUGUCAGGGAACAAAGGCGGGGACGUGUCCCCGGAUGAGUGUACCUGAAGAAAAAGCAUCGGCUAACUCCGUGCCAGCAGCCGCAGUAAUACGGAGGAUGCGAGCGUUAUCCGGAUUUAUUGGGUUUAAAGGGUGCGCAGGCGGUCUGUUAAGUCAGCGGUCAAAGCCCGGGGCUCAACCCCGGCCCGCCGUUGAAACUGGCAGG
RNAcentral lists this ribosomal RNA (305 nucleotides) under uncultured bacterium. RNAcentral describes it as "bacterial SSU rRNA". It matches the Rfam family "Bacterial small subunit ribosomal RNA", at positions 337 to 640 of the family's 1533-position model. The record is from RNAcentral.